AAAAUUAAGGGACAAAACAAGGAAUAUGCGCACAAUGGCCAAAUUAUAAUGCGCAUAAAACACAGGGAUCAAUUAAGAAAUUAAUCCAUGCCCUCAAAAUGCAGCGUUUUUGAGAGGACUCAAAUGCAACAUAAAGGAAAUUUGAAGGGAAAAUUAAAAAUAUAUAAAAAAAACUAAAUUAAAACAAAUAGAAAUGCGACAGGGGCUAACGCGCAAAUGGACUAUUCGGUCCAAAGCUAUAAACGACGCUGUUUUAUUUAUUACUAAAACUAAAAGAAUGAAUGGCAAUCUGCCAUUUUUCCUUUUACCGCAACAAAACCCCAAUCCCUUCCCCAAAGUUCUCUGUUCCAAAAUCAAAAGGAACAAAGGGUCUUCUCCUUUCUUCCUCUGCCAGGGCACAAAUGGAUCAGCCCCCUGCUGCUAAUCCGCCUUGAUCAUGAAGAACGGCUACAGGAGAAGCCACAAUCAGGUACCUUCGUCCCUUUUGUUUUCUUUUUCCAUUUCUUUUGUUGUAAAAAAACUUAAAUAGUAAAAUCAAAAUAGCAAAUCACCUUUUGAAAAGAAGAAAAAAUCGUUCUCAUUUAAUUGAAAAAUUGCUCUGCAUAUGGAAAAUUCAGAUUCUGUUCUCUAUUUUCUUUAUAUCUGUCUUGUAUUUGUAUUCCCCCCCCCCUUACAAUUAAAAACCGAAGGCUUUAUAGCCAAUAUACAAGCGAUUUCUGCUAUUUUGCCCAUGUUGCAGGUCGUGAAGCCAUGAAAACGGAGCGCACAGACGUGGGGUAGGCAACGCGUAGUUGGGGAUCGUGCGAAGGGCGUGUGUGGAGGCUGCUGGUGAAGGCCGCGGCGUGAAGCAAAAGGAGACCUAGGGUCUCUAAAAACCCCAAUGCUUUGGGCCUAUCUGGCCUUUGUAUUUUUAUUUUAUUGGGCCUUGAUUUGGACUGUUGUAUUUUUUUAUUUUAUUGUUUUGUAUGUGUACGGGCCAGGCAAAAUUUGGGCCUUACAAUCUCUACUCUCAUCAAUGGGGUUUAUAAAAACCUUGGUGUGCCUCCCAUUAGUCAUAGUUUAACCCAUGGAUAAUAGGAUGCUUACCUUCAACUUGUGGGCCCCAUUUAAAAUGUGGUUGUAAUAGUUGCACAACCUUCAGCUCUGCAUUUGAGGUGACAUUUGCUCACUAUUUUUCUUUCAUCAAUUCGUAACAACAAGGCUUUCCUUCCCUAAAUUGAAAGGAGGAAAGCCAAAAUCAGAAAACAAAAAGCUAUCAAUCGAAGGAGAUCACAAACCUAUUAUCAAAAAAGAAAACCCAUCAUGCUUAAAUUUACCAUUUCAAUUAAGUUACGUACUAACAAAAAUUCCAUUCAAGAUUAUUCUACAAAAAUGUUUAAAUGAAAAACUGGAAUUUGAUUGAAAAACAAGUGAAUUUUUGGAAUUUUCUCAAAGUUGACUUUAGCCAUGCGCCCAGAAAAAGUAAAAUUUAUAAAUAUGCAUAAAAAAAUUAUUUAGUGAUUUUUUAAUACAAAAAUAUAAAUUAUUUUUGGGAAGGUGAGGAGCAUGAGAUUCGUAAUAAGUGGUUUUUUGUUCAUUUGUUUGAUUUUUAUAAAAAUAAAUAAAUAAAAUCAUGGUGCUUAUGCUAUCAAUCUUGGAUUAUUGUUUCUUCAGUAUCUCUAAUACACCGUUAAUUAAUGAUUAGGUAGAUGUUUAUCUCAACUGGUACAUUGAAUGAAAUAUUGAUAUGUUUUACAUAAAAUAAUAUAUAUUGGGAAAAAUUCAGUAAAAAUUAGAGUAAUUUUACACAUUUCUGUAAUUAUUUAUAUGAUUAAUGUUUUAACGAUUCAAUCAUUAAAUUUAUUAAUAUAAUUGUACUUGUCAUGCAUUCAAAUUUUUGAACUCAUCUGAUAUCCGUAUUAUAUUAAUCUAAAAAAUAGUUGAUAUAUAUAUAUAUUAAGGGGUGAAUUUUUAUAUAUAAAAUAAAUAGUUAGAAUUUUUAAAUAUACAUCUAAUUUGAUAUGCAAGAUAUAUAUAUAAAUAGACUAAAUGAUUGAACAUUUGAAUAGUAAUUUAAUUUUGUAUGGUGUAAGCAUGAAUUAUUUUGUAAUGAUAGAAAAUAUCUGGACAGGUUACAACUUGGGAGAUAUUUCUUUCAAAAUUCAACCAAAUGAAAUCAAAAUGAUUUUUUGUGAAUAAUAACAUCCUUUUUUAAAUUUCUGGAAAAUAAGGAGCCAUCUUUUACACAAUCAUCAAUGCACGUCUAAGAAGACAAAUAAAGCUUAGCUGUAUUGGUAUUAUAUUAAUAAAGGAAAGCAGCAGUUAAAUUUCUGAGUUUGCGUUUGUCAUUAAUAAUAUUUAUUUCUUCAAGAUUCCCACACUAGUUUUCUCUUUUCUUAUAGAGCUCCACCACUCCCUGGUUAUCAUUGAGAAGAAGAAAAUCAGAGAUGGGUUUCACAGAGAAGCAAGAAGGGUUGGUGAAAGAAUCAUGGGAGGUUUUGAAGCAAGAUAUUCCUCACUUCAGCUUGCGUUUCUUUUCACUGUAAGACCUUUAAUUCUUUCCUUUUUAUGAAUUCUUCGUUCGGACCCAACAGUGGUCAGUGUCGGCCAAACGAGUGAGGCUGUGUCUUUUAAGAGAAUUUCUCUUCCACUGAGUAUUGAUUAAAUUGAGAGUGUUAUUUAGGAUAUUGGAGAUAGCACCAGGUGCGAAGAACAUGUUCAGUUUCUUGAGGGAGUCAGAGGAGAUUCCUCAAAAUAAUCCAAAGCUCAUGCUGUCAAGGUUUUCAAGAUGGUCAGUCCUUUUAUUUUAUUCAUUGCAUAUAUAUCCCUACUUAAGUUAAAAUACUUAAACAAUUGUUGUUGAAGACAUGUGAGUCAGCCAUACAACUGAGAGAGAAAGGGGAAGUGGUAGUGGCUGAUACUACUUUGAAGUAUUUGGGCACUGUCCAUGUCAAGAGUGGUGUCAAAGACCCCCAUUUCGAGGUACAUUUUUAUUUUAUUUUUUAAUAAUAAAUUUGAUUUGGAUGCAGUGGUUAAUUAAAAAAAUUUUGAGGAAUAAUGUUAAUGCAGGUGGUGAAAGAGGCACUCAUAAGGACAAUUGAAGAAGCAAUUGGAGAAGAGAAAUGGAAUGAAGAGAUGAAGAAUGCUUGGGGUGAAGCUUAUGAUCAAUUGGCUGAAGCUAUAAAGGCUGAGAUGAAGAACCAUCAUGAUGAAACUGCUUAAUUACUCUUUUACUUCAAUUUUAUUGUUGUUUGCCAAUAUUUUCACAAUUUUAAUGAAUAAAUUUUAGUAAUAAAGACUAUUUUGUUUUUCUAUCAUUAUUUUGCCUUAUUUUCUGUUUUUUUUUCCUUAAAAAAAGUUAAAAACUUAAUAAAAAAAUACAUUAUAGAAGGAGAGAGAGAUUUAAAACAACUUGUAAUAUUGAGUGAAAUUAAGUGGAAUAAAUAUUAAAACCAUAUGACAUCAUCACAUAAAAUUUUAAUUUGAUUUGAUUUAUAUAAAUCACUAAUAAUAUUAUCAAAUUAGUGUCAUUUUAUAUUAAUAUAUUACAUAUGUAUAAUUAAAUUUAAAAUAAAAAUUUGUUAAAAUAAGAUGUAAAUUUUACAAUAAUUUUCAUUUUUUAUUUUAAAUUAAAUAUAUUCAAUUAAUUUUCGGUUAAAAGAUGCUAUGCUCUUGAAUUUUAAUCCUUUCAUUUUAGGGUUAAAAUUUGUCAGCUAAAUUUGAAUAAAAAAAAUACACACUAAAAAUUGCCAUGUCAUAAAUAAAGUGACAUCAAAGCUUCAAAAAGUAAACUCAGAAUUCCGAAAAGUAAAACCAACUUUAAUUAAUUUUCUCUUUUAUCCCCAAAACUGAACCAUCACGGAAAGAAGAAAAAAAAAAAAAAAGAGUGACAUUUUUAUUUACGUAAGAAUGAUAAAGAAGACUGAAUAAUAAUUGAUAUGCCAAUUGUUAUUCCAAUUAUACAAAAAAGCAUAGUGUUCCACAUAUUUAAACAUACACCCUUUCUAAUUGGAAUGGAGCCCCCUCCUCUACAUAAUCUCACAUUGGCUUCUCUCUUUCUCUUUACUCUUACUUAUUCCUCUCCUCUUUACAAUAUCGAGUAUGCUCGGAUUACCUCCACAAUCGGUGCUCGACACAAUGGGCAUUUUCCUCCCCCUCGUACCAACUCGUUCGCGCAUUUUGAACACGUGCACAUGUGUCCGCAUCUGCAAUCCCAUCAAUAUGCAUCAUCAGCAUAUGCGCAUACUCCGGUGUUAGUCCGAAAAUAUAAUGAUUUUAUGAAAAGAAAAAGUCGACAAGGUAUAAACCUGUACAAAAGUGAAUCGAUAUGGCUAUCGCAACAAACACAGCAGGUUCCUUUCCUCACAUGACCCCAUUUAGAUCCGUCCUCCGAUGUUUCUACACUCAGAACUGUAAUAAAAAGUUAGUCCGAAAUAAUUAUUUUUAAAGAGAAAAACGUUGGGAGGAUUUACAAACCUUUUUCACCAACUGAUCUGUUCAAUGCUGCUGAGACUUCCUGCCUGACGGAUCGCUGUAACUCAAGCUGCAUAUCCAUGCAGGCUUCCAACAUCCUCUGCAUGUGGCUCAUGCCCUGCUGAAGCCUUGCCAUAUCGGCUCUAAGAUCAUUAACCAUCUCCCAUUCCUGCUCGAAAUAAGUAGAGCCUUAUAAUUAACUUAAAAGAUGCAUGCAUAGUAACAAGUAAGAUUCUGGGCCUAUUUCUUUAUGAUAUUCAGCAACAGAGAUAACAGAAUGGAAAUGAUUCGAUAGUAUGGCAUUGAACAAAUAAAAGGAUGGCUCACAAUUUCUGAUCUAUGCAUGCUGUGCCGAGACCAGCUAGUGUGAUGUAAAUCUUGAUGCCAUAACGGUUGUGGUGGUGGUACAGGAGGAGAAGGUAACACCAGUGACGGUCUGCUGAUAGCAUUGUUCUGGUCAUCAUUUAUUUCAUCCCUCUGCUGCUCUUGAUCACGUUCUGGUGAGGCUGGAGUUGGCAAGUUUCUAUGCAGAUCCCAAUCAAUGGGAGAACGGCCUUGUCUUUCCACAUAAGAAUGUAUUAAUUGGUCUAGACUUUCCCGGAAACCACUUCGAAGAAGAUUAGAGACACUUCUCCUGCAAAUUAAAUUUAUAUAAAAAAUCAAAGAAGUCGCAAUAUUUUUCUUUUAAGAGUAAAGAAAACCAUGCGAGGGUUACCUGCUCAGAAGCUCUCUAAGUUCCAUACUAUACACAUUAUCAUCUUCAGGUGGAUGAAAUCUAUUGAACCUUCUAACUGGGAUUGAACGACGUGGUCUUGGAGGACCAGAAGGCCCUUCUGACCAAUUAUCAACAGCUUCCCGAGAGCCAUCCUCACGCCAAACCCUUUGGGCACCCUGUGAAUGACUUUCUUCCCCAUUUACAUUUCCAGGAUUUUCUUGACGAUACUCGCUAACUGAACCUUCUUGCCAAUUUGUAUCCAGUUCUUCUGCAUUGCCUUCUCUCCAUUCAUUGAACUGACCAUACGGUGGCUGUUGCCAAUUUCCUUGUUCAUCAUUGGUUGUAUGAUCCUGCCAAUUCCCACCUUGAUUAGCAUUUCCUUGCCAACUAAUGCUCUCAGCAGCCAUGGUGCUAACCAUAUCUCCUGUUUGUGACCGUGAGACGUCACUUUCUGAACUCCUAGGUUGUGUAUGUUCACUUCGUUCAUGUUGUGCAUCCUGUAAUGUGUUUGAUUGAGAAAGUUCGUUUCUAGAAUCAUCUAUGACAUUGCUAGACGUGGUUUCAGGAUUGCUGCUUGCUUGACCACGGAAAAUGGUUUCUAAUCUGUUACGGAACCCUUCCCUGAAUAAGAAAAGAAUUAACUGUUAAACAAAUCAAUGGAAACCAUGAGAGCUUCAUGCUCAAAGGAGCUGAAAGAGGCAUUACAAGGAAAUUUUCAAGCCAUACCAAAAUAUUUAGUACAACAGAGAAAAGCUGUUCAAAAAAUUUGUAACCUGAGCAUGAAUGACAACAAUCAUACCUCAAACCAGAUACAGUGUGUCGUUGUCUUAAUUGAAUCAAUUCACUCGCUGCCAUUGAAGGCGGCCUCUCUUCUUCAACAGGUCUUUCAUUUCGUAAGAAUCUACCUCUGAGUAGGGACUGCAAAGUUAAAUGUAUUGGUAGUUAAGAAUAGCCACCCAUGCAAAAAAAAAAAAAAGCCCAGAUACAAAAGAACUUUCAUUGGGCAAAACCAAAAAAAUACAAUAACAUCAAGAUAUGUGAUUACAGAACAGUCCAUGUGUAACCCAUAAAAGAUAAUUCCAACAUCAUAAUGUUUUACUAUAGAAUAAAACAUAUAUAGCAAGUUUUAUUCUUCUACAACGAUGGACUUCCAAUUUCCAGCCGGGCAUGAAAAUUUCGGCAUCUUAAUUCCAAACAGGCAGAUGCAGAGAAAGAAAAAAUAGUGGAAACUGAAGUAAAAUGUAUUUAUGAAGAAUUUUUUAUUUAAAAAAAUAGAAAGAAGAAAAAUAAGUUAUACAUAUGACAAUAUGUUAAGUCAACCUAGAGCAUCAUUGAAGGUUAGAAUUAUAUAACAUUGACAAAACCAUAUAUUAAGUCCAGCAAAGUGUUCAGUCAAUCAAAGAGGCUUAUCUUCCACCAGUAGAAUGGCUCAACUUACCGUAGAAUGCCUUAAGUACGUUAUUAUUGAAACAAGCCAAUCUUACAUGAAAGUAUAAUACUAGUGGAUUCAAAACCUUGCUAUAACAAUGGAACUACCAUCCAUGCAAGUAGAGAACAACCUAUAGUCCUUUUAUUACAACCAAAUAUAUGAAAUACAUGACUCAAGCAAAAGCAUAUAGCACAAUAUUAGUAAAAAAAUAAAAUUUGCCCCUCCAGCAUGUUAGAGACAUAUUGCGCAGAUUAGCUAAGGUAAAAUAAAUAUUAAACAUAUACCUGAAUGCGGUUUCGAUGAGCAAAAUCAGAUACAGCACGGUGUUCCAAUAGAGACUGAAGUUCCCUCUGUCUCUCUCUUUCAAUCCUCAUAAGCAAGUCAAUAACAGCUUGUCGUCCCCGCAACCUCAGCAAGUCCCUCCGAAUAUGCUCUGGUUGGCCUUCAUCAUGGUCAGCAACUGAGCCUUCACGAGGUUGAUUGACUUGUGUGCCAACUGUAGCUGCUGCCUGAUGAUCUUCCCUUCGUCCACCACGAACUCCUCGCUGUUGACUCGUCAUUUGCACCCACUCCCGGACAAUUCUAACUCUCUCACGCUCUGUUUCACCAAGCCAUUCAGCUCUAGGGCCACCAACACGGGAUACACGUGAUGACGAAUGAUCACUAAUCCCACUCUCCAUCCAUCCCCGAACGAUCUGCCUCACCCUCUCCCUCUCGACUUCACCGAGAUCAGGAGAUUGCUCCCUACUAGACCCGUUAUUAUCCCCAACUUCAUUCUGCGACACACCCUGCUCAUUCGACCAUGUUCCAUACUCAUUCUCACUCUCACUUGCAUCAACAACACUACCAUGAUUCUCAGUCUCAUGACUCUCAGACAACGUCGUACUCGACAUAGUUGUAUUGCCAUCAGCAUUCCUUUGCUGCCUCAACCUUUCCCUCACCCUCUCACGUGCCCUAUUCAACAUAUGCUCAUCCUCCAACUCCCUCCACAUUUGCAAAAUCGAAGAAGCCCGAGUAUUAGGCCUCUCGACAGUCCCUCCUUGUCGCCUCGAAUUAGCCGAGGGUGACUCUCGCAAGAACGAAGAGUCGAGCGUGGAAACAGUAUGUAAACCAGCUAAAGCCAUCAAUUCAGACUCCCUAUUCCUCCUCUCAAUCGUGGUUAUCAUUUCCUGAGCCUGCCUAGCAGCCCACCUACUCAAAAUCCUAGAAUGCCGCCUUCUAGCGGCGGAGGAUUCGGCCAAAUCAUCGCCUUCGAGAUCAGACCUUCUUCUCCUCCUAAUAAGCUGAUCACCCUCGUCAUCUUCAUCAUCAGGAUUCCUAUUAGAACUACAUGAUGCAAAUGACAUACAAUCAUCUAAAUGCCCUCUCAUUAAUUCCUCCAAACCCCUUUCAAAUUCAGCCGUGGCAUCAUUUGAGGAGUCUGGUUUUUGCUGUAGAGCUUGAAAAUCUGUCAUUUUUUUCCCCACUUGUACACCUAAUUCUUUUCCAUGAAGCAAAUUUGCCUCAUUCCCCUUAGUACCCAAUAAGAUCACAAAAUUUAGAUCAUUAUAUCAAAUAUUACAAAACCAAACUCUAAUUUGGCUUACAGAAUUCAUCCAAAAAAAAAAACAAUGCCCUACGCCCUAGAAUUGGAUACGAAAAUAGCUCCCAUUCAUUUCUUAACCUGACAACAAUUAAAAAAAAACAAAAAAAGGGAUCAAAAGAAAUGAAUAAUAAUAAUAAUAAUAAUAAUAAUAAAAGAUUUUAAUCGAAAUUCGUAGAAAAUGAAGAAAUAUUCUGGUGAAAAUGGAGACGUACCAGUGAUGUAUUACAAUAGGAAAAGAAAAAAAACCCGAAGUUUCUUUCGCUCUUUUUCGUGUAUUAAAAAUGUGGGAAAAUUGUUUCCCUCAAAAUUGAAAAACAGGAAACUGCAAAAAACAGAAAUCUUGUUUGUUUGGAUAGAAAAAUUGUUUUAAAAAAAAAAAAGAAAGAACGAAAGAAAAGGAGGGGGAGAGAUCAAAGGAAGAGAAUGAUGUGAGAAAUUUAUAAUAAUUAUUACAAGAAAGAGAGAGAAAACUUAUUUUUAUCUCUAUUUUUUCAAUUUUAUUGCUUUUAGUGGUUUUUAUUUAUUUCUAUAAAUAAAAUUACUAACUUUUUAAGGUGAAAAAAGAGGCGCGCCGAUUUACAACAGACUUACACGUAAUAAUAAAUUUGGCUUUUUUAAGAAAUUCUACAUUUUUGUGAAGGACACGUCAUCAAUUUUUUGGAAAAGACUCGGUCACCCACUCACCUCAGUCACUCACUCUUCUUUUUUCAUGCUCAAUCACACCCCAACCCCCACUCUAUUUUUUAUUUUUGUAUAAAAUAAUAAUAAUAAUUCGUCUCUCAAAAAUAGUAUAAUAAUUAUUACAAAUUUUCUUAGAACAAUUACUAGUUUACUAAGGAUCAUUGGUUGAAAUAUAAUUAAAUAAAUUUAUCCAAAAUAAUAAUUUUAUAAAACUUGUUCAAUAUGUCAAUCAAUCGAUUCUUUGAUCAAUAAAUAACACUAAUCAUAUGUAUACAAAAAAAUAUAUAAGUUUAGAUAUGUCAUUUUUCAAAUUAAAUCAUGGUCGAUUUUAAAAUAUUUUUAAGUUAAAAUUUAAAUUCGGCGUAACUUAAUUUAUUUUUCUUUUUUACUUAUUCUCCAAUUAAACUUGUGAUAUGAUCUAUUUAUGUAUUUAAAUUAUAACGUACUUAUAUAAAUAUAUUUUGUGUUCAUGAAUUAAAAUAUAAAAUAAUUAAAGAAAAAUAAAUAUAAUAAUAUUUAUUUAAUAAAAAUAACCCAAAAAUUUUCAAUUAAUAAUCUAAAAUUGGGUAAAUUUCAAAAUAUUUUUGCUACACAGAUUUAAAAAAAUAUAUAUAUGCUUUAGUCCUAAAUAAUACUAAUAGUAAAGGCAAUAAAGUAUUUGUCAUUUUCUUAUUGUGUGUAUUGGAAGAGAAGUGGGGCAAGAUUAAGCAUGUUGGUCCACCACUUUUUAUGUCAUAAUUACAUUGUUUUUCAACCUUUGGUAUAAAAUUAAAUGUGUAGCAAUAUAUAAUUUAAUUAUUCUUUUGAAAUUCCACAUUUUUUACUAUUCAUGAUUUGGUUUUUUAAUGUUUAUUUUACUAUUCAUUCAAAAUUCGUCUACAAUACCCUCUCUCCACUUCCAUUAUUUACCUUUAAAUGCUCUUAAAUAAGAAAACCAAAAAGUAGUGUUUUAUUUUCCUAGGAACAAGUUAGUAAUUUAGCUUUGAAUAAAAGUUUUGACCUAAUUAGUUUGUAUAAAAGUAGACUUCUUUUUUAACAGAUUUACUCAUUAUGUUUUUUUUUCAAUAGAAAAAACAUCAAUAAGAAAAUAUUAAAAUUGAUUUUCAAAGAAACAAAGAGAAAUAAUAUUUAUAAGGAUUAUUCAAUAGCAAGUUGAAUGAAAAAAAAAAGUUGAGUUAUUUCAACCACAAAAUUUAAGAUAUAAAUUGUGAAAUAAAUCUACUAUCAUAUAAAUAAUAAGCAUAAUUAUAUGUUAUUAUUCAUUAUCAUAAUAUGUUAGUGAUUUAAUUUUAUUAAGGUUUACUAGCCUUUAAUUAUUAAAUAAAGUAUGAGUCAAAUAUGUGUAGAUAGUCUAGCAACUAAUUUCUAUUUAAUGAUGGGUUGAUUAGAAAUUAAUGUUAGUGUGCAAAAGUUAUAUAUUAGAGUUAUGAUCCCGAUAACUUUUUUAAUAUCUCAUAUUUAGAAAAGAGAGAGUCACAUUCUCUAAAUUACUUAUAUGCUAAUUUGGAAGAUCAAAACUGCAAAAUCUGUAAAUUUCAAAAAAACGAUGAAUUCAGGUAAACUUCCGCGUCUAAUUUUGUUCUUGAUUUAUUCUUAAUGAUUUGACAUGACAAAUCCUAGUUUAUGGUUUGUUAAGUUUUAUAUUAGAUAUUGUUUUACGGUUCUAGCAAAUGACAUCCGAACCUUGUCAUGUUGAAUCAUUGAGAACGAAUUGAUUCUCUAUUAUUUUUAGAUUAAUUUUUUUAAUAUUUUAAUUUUCGAUUAUGUAUAUUAAUGUUUGAGAUUCAUAUUGAAUUUUUGGGGGGUUUUAUUAUUGGAUUAAAACUUUGGGUUUAUAAGUAUGGAUCGAAAUCUUUGACUGUUAUUGGUUUGGUAUGAAUUGCUUUAGUGGAAUCCACAAGAAUUAUUUUGGGUAAAUUGAAGUUUAUGUCGAUCGAAAACCAUUAAUUCAUAGGCUUAAAUCAAUAUAUACUUUGGAUGUAUUAAUUGAUUUGGUGAUUAAGAUAUUUUUUUCCUCAUACAAUACUCUAGUAGAGUUGAGUAGAAUAAUUGGGUGCAAGGAAAAUUAUAGAUUUAAGAUACGAGUUUUUAAUAUUUAUUAUGCUUUUAUAUUUUGUUUUUGAGAUUUAUUGGCUUGAAAAUAUUUUUUAAGUAUUUAUGCAAGUCUCUAUUUAAUCGUAAAUACAAUUUUGGAUUUACAUGGUAUUUGCGUGAAUUGUUUUGGUGCUUUGUCUAUGCUAAAAUUAUGAAUACAUAUACUUGUUAAUUAUUUGGCUUUAAAUCACUACAUUAUUUUUGUUUGAUUUUGACAGAUAUGGUUUUGCAACAAAAAAAAUCAGUUAAAUAUUAAGGUUUUCAGUUUUUUUAUUACACUAUUUAGACAACAUUAUUUUGAGUUAUUUUGGAAAUUAUAAAGCAAUAAAAAAGUUUUGACCUUUAACUGUUAUGAAAAUUUCAUAUUUAAAUAUUGGUAUAUUUAUAUAUUUUUUAAAAUAACUUAAUUGAAAUAAUAAGUUGUCAAAGUGACCUCUAAUAUUGAAAUUAUUUUGUUUUAAAAUAAAAUGAAGGUUAAUAAUAUUACAUGUGCAACUGUGGUAAUAAACAUAUGACAAUUAUUCAGUUUUAUAUGUGAGUAAUAAAUCGAUCCAAAGGAAGAUUUAUUUUUUGACAUGUUCUUAUUGUUAGUGUUUGAUUACUACACCAAGAUAUUACUUACAAGUUAAUAUUUUGUCCAAAGAUGAUAUCUUAAUAGAGUGUUUCAUAUCUUGAGAUAGAGUUUACCUUUGUUAAAAAAAAUAUUUUGGUUUAAAUUUGAAGUCUUAUGUGAGUUUGUUUUUUUUAUUCAAAUAUUAUUGUAUGUUGUUUUGGGAUAAAUACAUAUAUAUAUAUAUACUAUUAUCUUUUAAUUUGGUUGAAAGAUGAAAUUAAGAGAAAUAUUUUGAAAUAAAUAAAUUCAAAUUUUGGCUUUAGGAUUUAAUUAAGAAUGUCAAAUAUUUUAAAUAGGUUAGUUGAAACAAAAUGCCGUCAAAGUGACUUUUUUUGCGUAGAUUAGUUUAUUUAAAAUAUAAAGAUCAUUAUAUGUUUUUAUGAUUUAUGCGUUUAUUAAUUGACCCAAAAGCAAGUUAAUAUUUGGCAGAAUUUCAACGACAUCUGUAAGGAUAAAUAUGUGACAAUUAUAAGGUACUUUAUAUGAGUAAUAUGUUAGUCCAAAGAUUAAUUUAUUAUUUGACAAAAUUUAUUUUCAAUGUUUGAUUGCUACAACAAAAGUACCACUUAUUGUUAAUAAUAUUGUCCAAAAACUUGAUAUUAAUGUUGUGUUUGGUAUCUUGAAAUGGGAUUACCACCCAUUAUCCUAAAUUUAAUAUUUACUUAUGAAUAUUGAUGUGAGUUUAUAUUUAUUUUUUGUUUUAUAUUCAGCUAGCUUAUCUGUUACUGCCACAAUAUCUACUAAUAUAAAUUAUAUACUCAUGCUUAAUGGGACUAAUUUCAAUGAAUGGAAAAGGGACUUACUUAUAGUGCUUAGUUGUAUAGACAUGACCUUACACUAAAAGAAGAACAAUACGAACCUCUUACUGCAGAAAGCACCUCUUAUGUUAAAAGGGAUUUUAAGAGGUGAGAUCGUUCAAAUCGCAUGAGUCUAAUGAUCAUGAAGCACAGUAUUUUAUAAGCCUUUAGGGGCACAGAAUUUGAAAAGUUACUCAGGACAAGUGUUUCCUUAACGAAAUUGAGAAACGUUUUGCUAAAAGCGAUAAGGUUGAGAUGACAUCACUUCUGACUUCUUUGAUGCUUAUGAAGUAUAAGGGUCAAGGAAACAUGAUGGAGUACAUUAUAGAGAUGUUUCAUGUUGCCUUAAGACUUAAGGCACUUAAAAUCGAGCUUUCUGAGGAAUUGUUUGUUCUUUUGGUUUUGCUAUCGUUUCCUGCACAGUUUAACCAAUUUAAAAUUAGUUAAAUCUGUCAAUAGGAGAAAUAGACACUAAAUGAGCUAAUUUCUUAUUGCGUGUAAAAGGAAGAAAGGUUGAAACAUGAUAAGUUUGAAAGUGCUCAUUUGGCCAGUGCCUUUAAAGGUAGUAGCUUACAUUCUGAAUAGAAUACUCACUAAAGCAUAUACAAAAAUACCUUAUGAGCUUUGGACAAAUUGAAAGCCUAGUCUAAAGCACUUUCACAUUUUGGGAUGUCCAACUGAAGCAAGGCCACAUGAAAAGAAAUUAAACUAAAAAAUAGUAAGCAACUACUUUAUUGGUUAUUCUGAGCAAUCUAGAGGUUAUGAAUUUUAUGAUCCCACAAUUAGGAAUAUUUUUUAUACGGGAAUUGCAACUUUUUUAAGGAUGUUAAGUUUGGAGGGAGAAAUAAGGUUAGAGACAUUGCUUUUGAGAAGGAAUUGGAUUCUAGCUCAAUUCCUGCUAUCAAUUUUUACAAUGUUUAGGUUCUCAUACCUAUCAUUGAUGAAGAAGUGAAUCCAGAACCUUAAUAAGACAAUGUUGAACAACUCCCUAUUCAAGACGAGGUAAUUGUUCUAGAAGAAAAAACUCAACAACCUCAAGAAUGGCUUUAGUGGAAUAUUUUAACCUUAAACUUCAUUAGAUGAAUGUUAAGUUAAUGGUUUCUUAAUGGUAACAUUGAUCAUACAUUUAUAUGGCGCAACUAGAAAACUUUUUGUUUGAUGAUGCAAAGUUAAUGAUUUGCAAAUUAAAGAACUUCAUCUAUGGACUUAAGCAGACUUCUCCUCAAUAGUAUUACAAAUUUUACCAAAUGAUUAUCUCAUUUGGUUUAGAGAUAAAUUUAGUAGAUAAUUGUAUAUACCACAAGUUCAAUAGGAGUAAGGUUCUGUAUUUGGUUUUAUAUGUUAAUGACAUACUACUUAUCAAUAAUAAGUUAAGUCUCGACCAAUAUCCCAAGAAUGAUUUUGAGAUUAAGGAAAUGCAAAAGAUUCCCUAUGUCUCAAGAGUGGGGAGUCUAAUGUAUGUUUAGGUUUGUACACAUUCAAAUAUUGUAUACAUUGUUGGGAUGUUAGGCAGAUUUUUAAGCAACAUUGGUUUAGACCAUUGGAUAACAUCCAAGAGGAUUAUGAGGUAUCUUUAAAAAAGAAAAAGUUACAUACUCACAUAUCGGAGGUCAGAUAAGUUAAAGAUCAUUAAGUAUACAAAAUCCGGUUUUGAUGGAAUAUUGAUGCAAAAUUUUGUCACUAAGGUGCAAAUUGUGACAAUAAUAGGUAGUCCUCUAUUCCAAUAACAACAAGAGCACAUCAAAGUAAAAACACAUAGACUUUAAGUUCCUAGUUGUUAAAGUAAAAUAUCACAGUGGUUAGGUGUCUAUAAAGCAUAUUGAGACAAACUUCAUGAUUGUGGAUCCACUUAUUAAGAAACCACCACUUAAGGUUUUUCAUGAGCACACUACUUAUAUGUGUGUAACAUCAUUUAAAGAUAUUUGGUUUUAGUGAGAGUUUGUACUUUUUAAUGCUUUUAUGUUAUAAACAUCUUUUCAGUUAUUUCAGUUUACGAAUAUUAAGUUUAUUUUCUGUAGAAAUAAAGUUUAUUUGGUUUAUUCACACUCUGAUUUUGGUAAGGUUUGAUCUCAUUAAGGUUUAAGGAGGACCAAUUGAAAAUAGACAUGUUUAGAUCAUAUUACAUGCAAUUUUUAUGCUACACAUCCAUACUUGAUCUAUAUCAUUUGGUUGUGUUAAUAUACAUGAUCAGGGAUGAAUUUAGUUAUGGCAUAUGCAAUGAAAGUCGCAUUGGUUAUAUGUCAACAUAAUUAAUGGACCGGAUUGUUCGGAAUACCUUUUUAAAUAUGAAGUAAAGUUUUGAGCUCAUAAGGUUAUAUAAACAUAUAAUUAUAGAGUAAUUAAUAUAUGUGGUCCAAGUGAGAGAUUGUUAGAAAAUAUGGACAUCACAUAUAUAAUAAGAGUAAUUACAUGUUAUUAUUUACUAUCAUAAUAGGUUAGCCCAAAUUAAAAGUGAUCUAAUUUGAUUAAAGUUUAUUGGGCUUUAAUUAUUAAAUAAAGUAUAGGUCAAAUGUGUGUAGAUACUCUAGUAACUAAUUUCUAAUUAAUGAUGGGUUGAUUAGAAAUUAUGGUUAAUGUGCAAAAUUUAUAUAUUAAAGUUAUAGUCCCCAAAUUACACAUAAGAUAACUUUUCUAAUAUCCUGUAACAGCCCGAUUUUGGUAAAAUAGGAACAGUGGUUUCGAGACCACAAAUCUGAUUCUGGAAAGGAAAUUUAUUUUAAUAUUAUUUUAUGAUCUACAGUAUGGUAAUAAUGUCAAAUAAAAAUGCUCGUUCGAACUUCCCGAUAUUGGCUAUCCGGAGCUUCCUGAUAUGGUUCUUUGUGAACUUCCUGACAAGGUUCUUUGUGAACUUCCCGAUUAUGGCUCUUAUAAGCUUCCCGUUAUAUAUCCCGGAUAAGCUUCCCGAUAAGCUUUUUAUAAGCUUCUCGAAAUGGCUCUAUGUGAGCUUUCCGUUACAAAGCUCGAGAGUGUGCUUCCUGAUUAUGUGCCCUAAUUAGGUACUCCUGAAUAUGAAUUGAAGAAUUUCUAAUUUGUACAAUUUGAGUGUACUACAUGCUUAUCCAUCGAUAUUUCAAAUAAAUUCAGCAGGUAAAAUCCUAACAUGAGGAAAUAUGGUCAUGAAACGAAUUAUUAUGAAAAUGUACUUGAAUUACAUUGAUUUGAAUUAUACCUGUUACAUGAACACGAAUUAUGAGAAAUAUUUGAACAAGGAAAUUUGACUAGUGUUGAGUUAAUAUAUUUUCUGAUAUUCAUGAAAAAUAUAUGUUUAACAUGAAUUCAAAACAAACUAUUACUGAAACAAGCCUGAGAUACAUGGAAAUGAUAGUAUUUGUUGUGUUGAAGUAUGACGUACUUCGUACAAGAAUGUGGAACAUGCUUAAUAACUUUGUACUUUUGUAAUAUAUUUGAAAAUAUGUGAUGGAAGACAUAUGUGUAUGAAACUUGUCUGACGAUUGUGUAUAUUCGUGAUUAUGAGUUAUUACCCAGAAUACAUGACUGGCAGGGUUAAUGAGGAUAUGUGUUUAGGCAUUUGGCCAACAUGACUUGGAAAUAAAUUGAAUGUUUACCUAUAUUUAAGAUAGUGGUAAGUUAAAUUCCAAGUUAUACGAACUUAUUAAGCAAAAUAUGCUUACUCUAUUUUAUUUUCCCCUAUCCUGUAGUGAUUCGGAAGCUUAUUGGAUUGGAAGCAUAGGCGGAGAUCACUCACACUAUCCAUCAGCUUAUUUCGGUAUAUAUGGUAAAUCACUUAUGGUUAUAAUGGCAUAUAUAGGUUAUUUAGCCAAAUGAUGGCAUAUAAAUGUUUUGAAUGAAACUAGCCAUUGGGAAUGGCUUGUGUUUGACAUAUUUUGAUAUAUUUAUAAGUGGUUCUAUCAUGUUUAAAGAAUGAAUGUGAUAUUACAUAUAUGCAUUUAGUAACUAGAUGAGUACGAAUAAUAGACUAAAAUGAAAAUAAAUUGUCAUCUAAGGUACCUACAGGUACAUUGGUUGUAUGUUAUAUUAUGUCAUGUUCAAGAUAUGAUUUAGACUUGUGUUGAAUGCUUUGACAUGGUUUGUGAAGGUGUUCAAGUAUUAGUGUAGGUGAAAGACAAAAAGGGUGAUAAAUGUGGCUUGGAAAAUAGCCUAUUUUUGUCCACACGGGCAUAUGUCUCAGCCGUGUGUCACACACGGCUUAGCACAUGAGCGUGUGAUUUGGCCAUAUGUCCCCUACAUCUUUAAAAUGUCAAAACAAAAUGCUCAGAAUUGAUCACACGGCCUAGCACACGGGCGUGUGGCUUGGCCGUGUGACCACUGCACCUACACACGGUCUAGUACAUGGGUGUAUGACCUAACCAUGUGACCCAAGUCAAAGAGUUACACGGCCUCAGAUGCGGACGUAUCCCUUGAUGUGUGGUUCACAUGGCCUAACCACACGGGCUUAUGACCCCUACACUUAGGAAAAAAUUUGAAAUUUUACGAAAAAAUUUUUGAGUACCUGGUUUAGUCCUAACAUGAUUCUAAUGCAUGAUUUGGGCCUUGAGUGCUCAUGUAAGGGACUAUAUGAUUAAAUUUGAUUGAAAUCUGAUAUGAAUGCUAAACAUUUAUGAAAUGUCUAUUACUUGACUCGUAAAUUUCGGUAAUACUCCAUAACCUUGUUCCGGCAAUGGAUUCGAGUUAGGGGUGUUACGUAUCCCAUCUUUAGAAAAGAGAGAGCCACAUUCUCUAGAUUACUUAUGUUGGAAAAUAAAAACUGCAAGAUCCAUAGUUUCAAGAAAUCGAUGAAUUCUGGUAUGCUUCUGCAUCUAGUUUUGUUCUUGAUUUAUUCUUAAUGAUUUGACAUGCAAAUCCUGGCUUAUGGUUUGUUAAGUUUUAUAUCAGAUAUUAUUUUACGGUUCUAGCAAUAAACACCAAUGACCAAUAGAUUAAAUAUUGAAAUGCUAGUAAUAUACUUAAGUUACUUGAAAGUAUUGUUUUUCUAACCACUAUAGUAGUGACGGAGUUAGGAUGUUAAUCUUGGAAGGGUCAAGUUAAAAUGAGAUGUACUACGUAAAAAUUUGUUUUUAUCAAGAAUAAUAUUUUAUAAUAUUAUUUUUAAUACUAUAAAAAUAUUGAAAAGACCUACUUUUAUAUUUUGGAGGGUCAUAGCAUGUAUAUAAGAAGAGAAAUUGAAAAAUCUUAAACUUUGAGGGACUGUGAUCCUUUGGGUCUCUUAAUAGCUCUGCCACAGCACUAUAGAUACAAUAUAUGCACAUAAUUAGUUCUAACAUUUUUUUUCAAACACAUUUAAAGAAUAUAUUGAGUAAUACAAGUUAGAGGUGAAUAAACUGUGAUGUAAAUCAAAUUUUAUCUCCACAACUAGCUUAUUAUAAAAUUCAUAAAUUAUAAACAUGUUUAUAGUUAAAAAAUGUAUUUUAAUUUGUAUAUUUGUAUUAUUUUCCUGUAAAAAAUUAUAAUAUUAUUAAUUUAUAUUAAUUUUAAAAAGUUUAUAAUUGGAAUUAAUUAGAUAUAUUUGUUUAAUGUAUAUAUUAUGUUGUUUAAUUAUUAUUUCUCAUUUUGUAUUAAUGUAGCAUAAUCAUGAUUUUUCUUUAAGUCUAAUUGUUUUUUAUUAAAAACAUCUAAUUGUUAACGUUAAAAUCUUUUAUAAAUAAGCUGAGAUUUCUUUCAUUGUAAAAUCUAAAUAAUUAAUGAGUUAUCAAAUUAAAUUAAUUAAUUAAUUUAUAAUUUUAUAAUGUUUUAAAUUUAAAAUAGAAUAUUUAACAGGAAAUUUAAUAGUUUAUUGAAUUAAUAUACUUAAUUCUACUCAUUGAAGAUUCUUUUUAUUUAAUAAAUUAUAAUUAAUAAGUGAAAUUUAAUCAUUUUAUUGAAAUAAUAUUUUAAUUAAUAUCAUUUUUAUUUAAUAAAUGAUAGAUAAUUAAUAUGCUUGCUUAUUUGAAAUAAUUAUAAUUUAGACCAUAUGUUGUUAUAGAUAACUAAUUUAAUAAAGAACAUGCUUCAUAAUUAUGGAUGUUGUUGUUAUAAGUGAAAAACUAUUAUAAAAAAUUAAAAUAGAACACAAAAAAUCCACUAUUCUUGAAAUUUGAUUGUUAUAAGGAGAGUUGAGUGUAUAUAUAAACUAAAAUAAUUAUCAACACGAAGUAUUCCUCUAAUAAAAUAAAUUAAAGUUUCUUUUUAUGAGAAUGGCAGGAAUAUUAUAAUUAAAUAAUGUAAAAAAUAGAUUGUAUAUUAAUAUUAUAAACCAUUUAUAUAAUGAAAAAUAUUAAUUAAAAUAUAUUUUAAAAAAAUACUUUCUUAUUAUUAAAAAAAUGAAAAAAAUUCUUAUUUGGCACUAAAAAAAGUUAAAACUCUUAUUAUAAUAGACACUAAAUUAGAAAGGGAAAUGGAGAAUAAUGUAACAAAUUCUUUGUUGUUGUGAUGAUUGAUGUAUUUGUUAUUGAAAAAUGUUAGUCAGAAUCAAGGUUUAAUAAAGUAAAUUUCAAUUAAACAUCCUGGGAGAAGGGACAAUUGAGAGAGUAGGUUCAUUGCAAAUGAGAAAUCAUUUUCUCUAUUAAUAUUAUUAUUUUGUAUAAAAAAAUCCUUUAAUAUAAGGAUAGAAAAUAUUUAUUUUUCAGAAAAAUAAAGGUGAUAAAAAUCAAUUUAAAGAAAUUAUUAUAGAAUUAGAAUAAGAAAUUUGAUACACAUCCAGACUCUAAUGUUUAUUAAAAAUAAAAUUUAUCCCUUAACUUCCUCUGCUAAACUAAAAUCUAAGUUUCUCAGUUCAACUUUUGUUUAGAUUGUAAAAGAAAAAAGGGAUUUGAACCAAACAUGCUAUUGUUAUUUAAAAAAGUGUUAAAUAUGAUUCAUAUUUUCAGUUAAAUUUGAAAAAUAGUCUUUCAGUUAAACUCUAUUUACUUGUUUCAAUCAAACACUGAUUAGUUUAGAUUAUUUUAUUAUUAUUUGAUCUAUGAAUUUAGCCUAUAAAUAGGCUCUUUUACAACCUUAGAAAAUACACCCAUUAGAGAUUAGAACUCAUAACACAUUUAUAGAAUUUUAUGUUUACGUUUUGAGGGUUCUUUGUUUUCGGGUUUUCGGGAUUUAGUCUUAAUCUCCAUCUUUUGUACUCUUCAUUCUUUUGCUAUUAUAGUAAAAUUAUCUUUGCCCGUGGUUUUUUAUCCUCUUUGGAGGGGUUUUUCCACGUUAAAUUUGUGUGUUCAAUUUCUCAAUUUAUUCCGCUAUUUUACUUGUUCGCUGCUUAAUCGGGUCGAAAUCCUAAGAAGAAGCCAUAACCACUCAGCUGUUGUAGGUUUUUAGAGUAAAUUGGAUUCAAGAAAAUCAAAACAAAACCAGCCAUACUAGACGCAUUCAAAUUUCUUUUCCACUUAGCUGCUAUAAAGCUUUUAUAUUUUAUGGGCUAUUCUCCCACUGUACAAAUUUAGAGCAACUAAUUUUAAUUUUAAUUUAUCAUUCAUUUCAUUAACUUAUUUUAUUUCUAUAUUUUUCAAGGAUGGUGAAUUUUUUUAUUUCAGCACUCAUAUUGGAUUUAUUGAGAAAUUUAGAUUGGUAAGAAACUUCCAUGAUUUUUUUUAAGUAUUGUUUGUGACCAUUACCAUUUUAUUUUUUCAAAAUUUGAUAGAAUUAUUGAAUUAAAUUAUUAAAUAUUCACAUGUUCAUAAGAUUUACUAGUAUAUUAUUUUUAAAUAAUUGUCUAAUAUCGUAUAAUAUUUAAAAAAAACAUCGUAUAAUAAUAUUCUUUUUUUAUUUAAUAUUUUAAAGGCUUGGGUUUGGGUAAAAAUAUAUUAAUAUCAUGUUGCUUGAUAUUUGAGUACAUAUAGUAAGUUUUGUUUGUUUGGGUUACCUUAAAUAUUUUUGAUUGUUUAAAUAUAUAUAUAUUAACUGUCACCUCAAACUUAAGCUUUUAUGGUAUUGGUUCCCUUUAAAUAAAAAAUCUACUGGGACAUUUAGACAUCUGUCAUACUAGUUAUGUUGCAUUCUCUAAAGUGAAUACAAGCAUAGAAAAAAUUAAAUGAUAUAAUCAUGAACGUGAUAAGUGACAUAAUAAUGACCACGAGAAGUGGAAAUAUAGUAUUAAAUAAGAGAACAAUAAAAGUUCUCAAGAUAAUCCUUAAAAGUAAGAGAUAAUUUAUAUUAUCAAUAUGAUAUGAAAGAUUAUUGGUCACAUACCUGUCUAUAUCCAAAUAUUUUGUUCAACCCUAUUAAUAUCCUUUGAGGAAAGAAAUAUAUGCUUCAAUGACAAUGUAACUAUGAAUAAUAUCCUUAUAUGUAGAAAGUGUUUAUCUUAAUUGGCACUGAAACAAAUUAAUAUUAAUGCAAUAUUUAAUAGUAUAAAAUUAGUUGAAAGCUUCAAAAGAGCUAAUAUGCUAAUAUCUGAAGGAACAAAAUUUGUGAUUGUUAACACAUUAUAUUCUAGUCAAUCUCAAAGAAGUUAUUAAGUUUUAAAAUAUAUUCAUUGUAAUGGAUCUCAUUUUGUUAUUGUGAAUGAGGAAAUAUUACAUUUGGUAUGAAUCACUCUUGCUAUUAAUAUCUACCUAUUUUGAUUUUGAAAAGGAUAGAGAAAGAUUUGUCAGUUAUGUAUAACAAACUAGAUUUUCUAUGAUGACAUAUUUAUACUUUUGUAUAAAUUGUUGAGUAAACUGAAAUACCGAUAUUCUGAGAUUGUUAUUAUGAAUUCUGAGAUACUAUUGAUGGUUAAUCUGAAAAAUCGAUACUCUAAUCUGUUAGUUAUUCACAAUUAUUCUAUGUGUUAUUAUUUAGUAUAACUUAUGAAUUGUUUGCACUAGUUUUAAUUGUGAUGAAACUCACACUAAACAUUAUAGUUCACUUUCUUUUAAAUUUCCAUCUUUUCAAAUAAUCCACCAGGUUAGAAUGCAGGUUAGAAUGCAGGCACAACAUUCAGAGGGGCUCAGCUCGGAUAUGUUUUUCUAUAUAAAUAUUUUAGAUUUAUUAUUUGAUAAAUUAUUAUUCAGAAAUUGUAUGGAUUUAUUUUUGAACUUGGGAUGGGAUUUAAGUUUUGGUUUUAUUUAGUAUACAUGACAUUUAACUUAAUUUUUAAGACAUGAUUUUUAUUUAAUUAAGCAUGAAAUAUAUUUUUGAAAAAAUUAAGCUAAAUGUAACACCCUAAACCUGACCUAGACAUUAUGGCCGAAUCCAGAAGUGUCACAUGAAAUGGGUUGAAAAAAAAACCAUUGUCGUUAAGUUAAAACAUUUCCAGUUAUUAGCCUUUAGAGUUAUUAUUAAUUUCAAACCUUUCGUUCAUUUAAUCAUCUAGAGAUAAAACGUUUUGUAGCGGAAGCGUGUAAAAACGUUGAGCCCAGAAAACCGUUCAAGAUUCUAGAAAACCACCACAGUUUUAAAUAAGUAAAAACCAAAACCCAAAACCAAUGUCAGAAUAUUAAAAGAGUCCAGAGUCCCAGAAAAUACAACUUCAAUGCCAAAACUUAAUAACCCCAAAAUAAAAUGAAACAGUAAAUUAAAUGGUUACCGUCGAGUCCUCCGCUACACCGAUCCGCCUAAGACUGUGGGUUACCUAUACAGACAAACAGAAAACGGGAGGUGAGUUUACGUAAACGCAGUGUGCAACCCAGCAGAGUUAAGCAUGUAUACAUAUAGAAUAUCACAAAUAAGACAGAUUCACAAUCGGGCCUAAGCCCAUGUUAGAUACAGAUACAGAUUCGGGCUAAGCCCAUUUCAGAUACAGAUACAGUCACAUAUAUACAAAUCAUAUAACAGAAUCCUACCCUCAUCCUCUACACAACAUCUCUGACCAAUCCUACAUACCAUGUGGAGUUUAAAACACCCACCCAGCCCUACACACCAUGCUGUAUUGAUGCGGCAUAUAUCAGAUAAAAUGCAGCCAUGCUGCUAGAUAAUAAGCACAAAAAUGCCUUUCAGAACACUUCCUCCAAUAUACAUCAACCCAUCCCCAAUAUUAGAUAACAUAACAUGCAUACAGAAUUAACGAAUAUAUCAUGCUUGACAUGCAUUAAAUAACGAAUAAUAGAUAUUCACCUAGCAUAAUAAUAUCAAACUCAGAACAGAUUUUAGACUAUCAGAUCACAUAAAAUUUAAGGUUAGAUAGCUUUUACCGACCCUACGGUAGGCCCACAGUCGAUUAGGACGACCCGUGCGACCCUACAAAAAAUUUUAGUGUAAUGGGCCUACAUACCCGUGGGGCCUACCUGUAUGGGCCCACAUGCCUAGAUUGGUCGUGCCCGUUUGGAUUACACGGCCUGGCCCAGGUAUCAUACGCCCGUGUGAUAUGCCCGUGUGGGCCUACACGCCUAAUUUGGCGUAACCCAUGAGACCCACAUGGCCACACCCGUCCAUCACACAGCUGUGUCUUGUGCACGGCCUGGCAUUCUUUGAUCACACAGUCGUGUCAUCCCACACGGCCGUAUGGCGUUGACAGAGGGGUUUUUUGGCUUUUUUCGAAUCCUAUUUUUCUACAUUUCGGGUACACCUAGUACGAUUUUGAUGCUAAAACUAUCCUGAGCCUUUUGAGACCAACACAGAGUACCUAACAUCGAAAUUAGCAAUUGAGUUACGAAUUUCUCAAACACAAAUCGAGCCAAACACACUCACUUACCGUAAUCACACUCGUUUAAUCGCGCAAAUCAGACCGUUAGAGUGAAUCUACUGUUCACUAUCGUUCCCUACAUAACAAAUUAUGGAACUUCAAUCUUUAGAAAUCAGAAACUAAAAGAAUACAAUGACCCCACUUAUCGAUUUCACAACAACCAAGAUUCGAAUGUCUGCAAGCAGAAUUUAAUGACUGAAUUGGAAAGUGAAGAAGGAAGGGUUUACUAUUAUUUCUCAAAGGCAGAAAAAGAAAAGAGAAGAGAAAUCAAAGGGAAAAAUCCUAUUUGGAAAAAAAAAGGAAAACAUCAGAACCCAAAAAUUUUUGAAAAAAAAUAAAAACAAAAUAAAAUCCUAGAUAAUAUCCCCUCCACUACCCCACUACUGACAACUCCCUCAGAACUCCAGCACAACUGAAACUCUAUCAGAUAACAGAGCAAAAAUAAAUACCCAAACUCACGCGGGGAUUCAAACUUAGGACCUCUAACACUUCAGUUCCUUUACCAUUUAAACCAGCAAGCUCAUUCUGAUAUAAAAUUACAAACAAUUAAACAUAAGCCCUUUGAACAAAGAUAGGGCUUUAUUCCAAAACUAACAAAAUUUGCCCAGGGUAAGCCUUAAACCCAAAACCUCUCACAUACUCCCAGAACACUUGGACACUGAAGCAGAUACACACUUAUAUCACAUUUUCACAAAGCAGAAAUAAAAAAUUUGGGGCAUUACAACUCUACCCCCUAAAAGAAAUUUCAACCUCGAAAUUUACCUGAUCAGAACAAAUGAGGCUACUGUUGACGCAUCAAAUCCUCAAGUUUCCACGUAGCUUCCUCAAUGCUAUAAUUCCGCCACAACAUCUUCACUAAUGGAAUGGACUUUUUCCUUAGAACCUUAACAUCAUGAUCCAAAAUCUGGACAGGCUCCUCCUCAAAAGUCAAGUCCGGUCUAACCUUGAUCUCUUCCACUGAGACAACAUGGGAUGGAUCAGAACGGUACCGCCUCAACAUCGAGACAUGAAACACAUCAUGAAUAUGGUCUAGUUUAGGGGGUAACUCCAACUGAUAAGCAACUGGUCCCACACGCUUCAAAUUCGGUGCGGUCCAAUAAACCUAGGGCUCAGCUUGCUCUUACGACCGAACCUCAGAACGUUCUUCCACGGAGAGACCUUAAAGAAAACAAAGUCCCCCACAGAAUACUCGAUCUCAUGCCCUUUCAGAUCUGCAUACGAUUUUUGUCUGUCAGAAGUCGCUUUUAGAUGAUCUCGAAUUAGUCUAACAUUAUCCUUAGUCUCAGAAACCAAUUCAGGACCCAAAACUCAACAUUCACCCAACUCAGUCCAACAUAAAGGAGUACAACACUUACGACCAUACAGAGCCUCGUAAGGUGCCAUCUGAAUACUAGCUUGGAAACUGUUAUAGGUGAAUUUAACUAGCGGCAGAUAAUCCUCCCAACUACCUCGGAAAUCAAUCACGCAACUCAGAAGCAUAUCCUCCACUAUGUAAAUCACCAUCUUAGAUUGACCAUCAGUCUGAGGAUGGAAUGCAGUACUGAAGUCCAACCUUGAACCUAAAGCCUCUUGUAAUUUCUUCCAAAAUCGAGAAGUGAAGUGAGGAUCUCUGUUAGAAAUGAUCGAGCCAGAGACCCCAUGCAGUCUUACAAUAUCAGAAAUGUACAACUUCACUAGCUUUUGCAGAGUGUAAUCAGUUCGAACCCGAAUAAAGUGAGCAGAUUUGACCAAUCGAUCCACGAUGGCCCAAACAAAAUCCUUUUUAGUGAGUGUCAGGAGCAACCCACUAAUGAAAUCCAUAGUCACUCAUUCUCAUUUCCAUAAGGGAAUCUUGACUGGCUGCAACAAACUCGAAGGUAAGUGGUGUUCAGCCUUAACUUGCUGACAAGUUAAACAACAAACAACGAAAUUCGUAAUCUCACGCUUCAACCCUGGCCACCAAUACAACUCACGGAGAUCACAAUACAUCUUAUUACCACCGAGAUGCAUAGCAUAAUGGCUACUAUAUGCCUCCUUCAGAAUCGAUUAUCUCAAAUCAGAGUCAUUUUGCACACAAAUCUGGCCUCGAAAACACAGAAUAUCAUCACUAUUCAAUCCAAAAUCUGUAAUAGUACCACUUUCUAUCUGACGGAAUCGUACACCCAGAGUCUUAUCUAUUAGCUUUUUAUCUUGAAUCUGCUCAAUCCAAGUCGGCUUAACUUGCAAAUCGGCCAAAAAACUCCUAUCAUUAAAUAGACUAAGGCGGGCGAACAUCGCCCUUAGAUGAAUAAUCACCCUACGACUUAGAACAUCGGCCACCACAUUGGCUUUACCCGGAUGAUACUCUAUCAUGCAAUCGUAGUCCUUAAGUAGCUCAAUCCAUUGACGCUAUCUAAGAUUCAACUCCUUCUGAGUGAAGAGAUACUUGAGGCUUUUAUGAUCGGUGUAGAUAAUACACAUCUCACUAUACAGAUAGUGCCUUCAAAUUUUCAGUGUAAAGACCACAGUAGCCAACUCGAGGUCAUGCGUCGGAUAAUUUCCUUCCUGUGUCUUAAGCUGACAGGACGCAUAAGCCACAACCUUACCAUCUCGCAACAAAACACAACCCAAUCCAACAUGCGAUGCAUCACUAUAUACUACAAACUCCCUUCCAAAUUCAGGCUGCAUUAGAAUAGGAGCCUGAGUCAGAAUAGAUUUGAGCUUCUCAAAGCUCGAUUACUGCGUAUCAGUCUAGACAAAUGGUACACCCUUACGCAGGAGUUUUGUUAACGGUGCAGUAAUCAAAGAGAACCUCUCAAUGAAACGCAGAUAGUAUCUUGCCAAACCCAGUAAGCUAUGUAUCUCAGAUACACUCUUAGGCUAUUUCUAAUCCAGUACUGCUUCAAUCUUUUGAGCAUUAACACGAAUCUCCUCAGCAGAAACCACAUACCCCAGAAAACUUACUUCACGUAGCCAGAACUCACACUUGCUAAAUUUAAGGUAUAGUUGCUUCUCACGCAGAAUUUGAAGCACUACUCUAAGAAACUCAUCAUACUCAUCCUCAGUCGUAAAGUAUACCAGAAUGUUGUCGAUGAAGACCACAAUGAACUGAUCCAGAUAGGACUGAAAUACCAGAUUCAUCAGAUCCAUGAAUGCAGCCGGGGCACUUGUUAAACCAAAAAGCAUAACUAGGAACUCGUAAUGUCCAUAACGAGUCCUAAAUGCGAUCUUAUGAACAUCAGCCUCCUUAACCCUCAAUUGAUGGUAUCCCGAUCGAAGAUCAAUAUUAGAGAACACCAAAGCCUCUCGGAACUGAUCAAAUAAGUCGUCAAUCCUCGGAAGUAGGUACUUAUUCUUAAUGUUCAGCUUGUUCAACUACCGAUAAUCUAUGCACAUCCUCAUGGUCUCAUCCUUCUUCUUAACAAACAGUACUGGUGCUCCCCACGGAGACAUACUCGGAUGAAUGAAGCCACGGUCCAGCAACUCCUACAAUUGAGCCUUAAGUUCUGCAAGCACUUUUGGUGCCAUUCGAUAGAGAGCGAUAGACACUGAAGCUGUACCCAGAAGAAGCUUGAUCCCAAACUCAACCUCUCAGUUUGGAGGCAAUCCCGGUAACUCUUCAGGAAAAAUAUCUAAAAAAUCCCUCACAGUUUUGAUAUCCCCAAUUGAAGAGUUACUAGAAGCAGUAGUACUGACAUAAGCCAAAUACACCUCACACCCUUUCUGGACCAGUUUCUCAGCUACCAGUACGGAGAUCACAUGCGACAGAUAAUCUCAACGCUCUCCAAUCACAACCACCUCUUUAUCUUUCUCAGUUCUCAGAAUGACCCUCUUAGUCGCACAAUCUAGAAUAACCCGAUGCUUGACCAAUCAGUCCAUUCCCAGAAUUAUAUCGAACUCUCAAAAGGAAAGCUCCAUCAGAUCUGCCAGAAAAACAGUUCCUUGCACCACUAAAGGUACAUCCUUAUAGAGUUUACUAACCCGAACAGAUUGCCCCAAUGGACUCAAUACAAUGACCUCACUCGUAGUGCUCUCAACUAUAAUCCCUAGGUUUCCAGAUACAGUACUAGCUAAGUAAGAGUGAGUAGACCCUAUGUCUAUCAAAGCCACGUAAGGUACACCAAAUAUAAAGAACAUACUAGUGAUGAUGUCAGGAGCAUCUCUGUCCUCGCGACUACGUACAACACAAACCAAAGUAGGCACCUCACCUCUGUCUGACCCGUACCUCUGCCCGGUGCUCUCUGCCCUCAACCCAUACCAUUACCACCCUUAGCCUAUCCAUGGCCCCUAGGUGGCUGCUAAACUAUUCUAUGAGGUUGUACAGUACCCGAAGCUAGAGCUUGCAUUUGAUUUGUACGCUGUGGAUACUCUUUAAUACGGUGCUUAAGAGACCCAUACCUCAAACACGCCCUAGUUCUCCUUCAGCACUUGCCUGGAUGGAGUCUCCUACAAUCACUACAAGGCUGUAACCCAAUAGGAGUAACAGAAGCAACAGGGGCCCCCACUCUAACUGCCCAUCAGAUCUGGCCUUUUUCUUAGGCCUCAGAACAAAACUAGAGGGCUUUGAAUCCCUCUUAUUCUUACAUUUCUCCCUAUCUUUAUCCUAGAGCUCAGCACGUUUAACAUCUUCGGUGAUCUUCGCCUUCUCUACCAGAAUAGAAAACUCGUCCACCCUCUACGGAGUAAUCAGAAUCCUCAAAUUAUCCCUUAAGCCGUCCUCAAACCUAACACACCUCUCAUACUCGGACGUCACCAUGCCUCAAGCGUAGCGGCUCAACCUCAGAAAUUCGGUCUCAUACUCGGCCACAGGUCGGUCACCUUGCGUAAGGUUCAAAAACUCACACCUGUGAGCAUCUACAUAGCUGGCUCCCACAUAUUACUCUGAAAUGUAGUCUUAAAGAACUUUCAAGUCACACGGUCAGGCUGAGUGCCUUUCUUAACUGACAACCACCAUUAAUAUGAUUCGUCGCAAAGCAAAGAGACUGCACCCUUCAAUUUCUGCUUAGGGGUACAGUCCAUAUAAUCUAUAAUCCUCUUGUGGCCUCCAACUAGUACUCGACCACAUUAGGGGUAACUCUUGUGACACCUCUAAAUAACUCUGCUCCAUUAGACCGGAGUCGUUCAGUUACCGACCUUCAGCCUCUAGAUCCAGAAUUGGGUCCAGCGACCUACUCUAAUAUCCUCAACGUGGCUUAAGACAGUGGGUCAUCCCCAGCCGAUCGAAUCUGAGGCCCAAUCUUAGUAGUAGUGACACUGGUGUCUCACCAGUGUCUAAGUUCUGCAUGCUGUUCAAAUAUGAUGACUCAGCUUGAGCCCCCUUACGGCCUCUACCUCAGCCUCGAGUACUACAUCCUCGAAUACCUUAUGCGCUCAUUGUCUAAUUCGAGUUUAUCUACAUUAAGAGUUUUAUGCAUCAGUUUAAUAUUUAUUAACAAAUAUUUUAUGCAACAUUUAUCAGAAAUUUAAGAGUUGUUUUCAGAAAUUUCAGUUUUCUAACUAUCUCAGUACAGUCUCAAUAAGUACUAUCUACAGUAUUUCAGAAUAGUUUAACCUAGUACAAAAAUACUUACAGGAUCGACACUGGAGACUUGGUGUACCACAUACUUAAACCAACUAUUUUUAAACCAUUUUGCAAACCAAUUAUUUAAAACAUAUUUUGGAACCCAAAAUUCACAAUCGAGUUUUGUAAUCUGGCUCUGAUACCACUAAAUGUAAUACCCCAAACCCAACCUAGACGUUAUAGCCGAAUUCGAAAGUGUCACAUGAAAUGGGUUGAAAAAAAACAUUGUCGUUAAGUUAAAACCUUUCUAGUUAUUAGCCUUUAAAGUUAUUAUUAAUUUCAAACCUUUUGUUCAUUUAAUCAUCUUGAGAUAAAACGUUUUGUAGCGGAAGCUUGUAAAAACGUUAUGCUUAGAAAACCGUUCAAGAUUUUAGAAAACCAUCACAGUUUUAAAUAAGUAAAAACCAAAACCCAAAACUAAUGUCAGCAUAUUAAAAGAGUCCAAAGUCCUAGAAAAUACAACUUUAAUGCCAAAACUUAAUAACCCAAUAAAAAUGAAACAGUAAAUUAAGUGGUCACCAUUGAGUCCUCCGCUGCACCGAUUCGCCUAAGACUGUGGGUUACCUGUACAGACAAACAGAAAAAGGGGGUGAGUUUACGUAAACCCAGUGUGUAACCCAGCAUAGUUAAGCAUCUAUACAUACAAAAUAUCACAAAUCAGAUAGAUUCACAAUCAAGUUUGAGCCCAUGUUAGAUACAGAUACAGAUUCGGGCCUGAGUCCAUUUUAGAUACAGAUACAAUCACAUAUAUGCAAAUCAGAUAACAGAAUCCUACCCCCAUCCUCUACACAUCAUUUCUGACCAUCCCUGCAUAUCGUAUGAGGUUUAAAACACCCACCUGACCCUACACAUCACGCUGUACUGAUGCGGCACAUAUUAGAUAAAAUGCAGCCAUGCUGCUAGAUAAUAGGUGCAAAAAUGCCUUUCAAAACACUUCCUCCAAUAUACAUCAACCCAUCCCCAAUAUCAGAAAACAUAACAUGCAUACAGAAUUAACAGAUAUAUCAUGCUUGACAUGCAUUAAAUAACAGAUAAUAGAUAUUCACCUAGCAUAAUAAUAUCAAACUCAGAACAAAUUUUAGACUAUCAGAUCACAUAAAAUUUAGGGUUAGAUAGCGUUUACAGACCCUACGGUAAGCCCACAGUAGAUUAGGACGACUCGUACGACCUUAAGAAAAAUUUCAGUGUAAUAGGCCUACAUGCCCAUAGAGCUUGCCCGUGUGGGCCCACACACCUGAUUGGCCUUGUACGUGUAGAUCACACGGCUGGUCCAGAUAUUACACGCCCGUGUGAUGUACCUAUGUGGACCCACACGCUCAAUUUGGCGUAACCCAUGUGGCCCAUACGGCCACACCUCGAAAAUCACACGGCCAUGUCUUACGCACGGCUUGGCCUUCGUCGAUCACAUGACCGUAUCGAUGUUACACGGCUACACGGCCGUGUGGCGUCGACAGAAGUGUUUUUCAGCUUUCGUCGAAUCUUGCUUUUCAAUGUUUCAGGUAACACCUAGUACAAUUUUGAUGUUAAAAUGAUCCCGAGCCUUUUAAGACCUAACACAAAGUACCCAACAUCAAAAUUAUCAAUUAAGUCAUGAAUUUAUCGAACCCAAAUCGAGCCAAACACACUCACUUACCGCAAUCACACCCGUUUAAUCGCGUAAGGCAGACUGUAACACCCUUUACCCAUAUCCGAUGUCGGGACAGGGUACGAGGCAUUAUCGAACUUAAGCAGAACCAAACAUACAGAAUUGGGCCACAAAAUUUCAUUCAAAUUAAAACCAAUCAAUUAAAGUUAAUUUGUCCCUAUUAUGGACCCAAGAAGCCCAAAACAUACAUCAUUAGUGGUCCGGGACUAAAUCGAGAACUCACAGAAAUUCUAAGAAAAUUUUUAGGUUAAAGUCCCACACGCCCGUGUGGAGGCAAUGUACAUGCCCGUGUGCUUGGGGACACGCCCAUGUCCCACACCCAUGUGGAAUUAUUGGAUUUAUUUUCCAAUUCGAACCUACAGGGGUUUUCACACGGCUGAGCACACGCCAGUGUCCUAGGCCUGUGUUCCUCACACGGCCUGGGACACACCCGUGUAGUAGCCCAUGUGAUUUUAGCGAGCAUUCUGUUUAUGACGUCAUCAUACAAAUUUGAGGCACACAGCCAAGCAUACGUCCGUAGCUAGAGGCCGUAUCCUCCACACAGUUGAGACACAUGGCCGCGACUCUGCCCGUGUGUUUACUACCAUGCAUGUUAACCUAAAAUUCAAGGUGCAGAGGACACACGGCCGAACGACAUGCCCAUGGGGCUGACCAUAUGUCACACACGGCUUAGACACAUACCCGUGUGUCUACCCGUGUGGAUUAUUUGGAGGCUUCUCUUCAAGCCAUUGGUCACCCUUAAACAAUUAUACACUUCCAUAUGUUCAAUGGCAUAUCUCAUGAUAUAUUUGGACAUUUAAACAUGUAACAUUAUAGCAUCACUAUGACCCCUUUUCAUAUUAGUCCAUUAGUAUUCACACAACCUUAUCUUUUAGUCAUUCCACACCAAUCUCAUGGUUUACCAUAUUCCUUAUUAUCAAUCCAUUAUGAGUGCUAAAUCACACAACCACAUACAAGCAAAUAAAUAGUCAUACAUCAAACCAACACAUACACAUCUUAGAAUGCAUGCAAAGGUAAACUUAGGGAUACAUUCCAAUCAUUAAUAUGGACCAAAUCACAUGGCCACAUACAAAAUAAUCAAUGCCCAAAUGAGCCAUUACACUUGGCUACUUCAACAUGACACAUAUAUACAAAAUAGACAAGUUCCCUAUACAUGCCAUGACCAAAAUAAUUGAACCCUUUUAUACCCAAAAUCCUUGAAGAUAGUGUGAUCUGAGCUCUGACGUCUCCCGAUCCUUUGAGCUAGCUUGACGUAUCUAAAGAGAAGGGAAAAGAGAUGAGGGUAAGCUAUAAAGCUUAGUAAGUACACAUACAAAUAAUCUACAUUUUUGCAAUUAUUGGGAAUCUACGCAUAAUUACUUAUCUAUUAUGAUACUUUUCAUCGUGUCAUAUGUAUUUACUUACCUUUCAUAUUCAUAUGUACAUGCUUAUCCAAAUACAUAUCUUUCCAUAAUAUCAUCAUAUACUAUGUCCUCAUAGGGUUUUAGUACAUACCUGUGCCAUCUUGCACACAUAUGUCUUACUUAAAUUUUACUUUCGAAAUUCAUAUUACGUUACCCGUUGAACACUUGGAAUAUGAUUCGGACACACGGAAGAAAUGCAUGGAAAUGCCUAAACGUAGCCUUGGCUACCUGACAGAAAGUGCACCGAAGUGCCUCAUAUCACAAAAUCACAUGCCGAUCUCAACGGGGCUACUCAAAGAGUUAAGAGAGUAUCCGAACACAACUCAGGAUACCCAGCACCCGGACCCUAGCAUGUAUCCCAUAUUAAAUGAGCUCAUAACACACAUGACUAUCCUAGUGACAUGUCACUUGUGUCCUCAACUAUUCCUAAGGUUCAAACAAGAUUUAAGACUUCCAGACCUUUACCGAACAUACUCGCAUAAGUGGUUGCUUUCACAUGGCUAACGUCUCAUAAUCAUGUAGCAAAGCAUCAAAACAUGUUAUAUUAUCAACAUAGCCAAAUAAGCAUAUUAAGCAUACAUAUAUCAAUAAAUCAUUUAAUAACAAUAAUUAAUGUAUUUAUUUACAUAUGUACUUACCUAGGUACAAAAUACUAGAAAUCGAGCCUAAACCUCGUAAACCUUGUUCUUUCCCCGAUCAAGGCCCGUAUCUCGAUUCUCUUAAUCUAUAGUACUAAAUUUAGCUCGUUUAAUACAUACAUUACUUAAAACGAUCCAAAAUUCAUAUUUGCUUAAAAUUAUUAUUUUAUCCUUAUAUUUUCAUAUAUUUGCAAUUUAGUUCCUAGGCUCGAAUAGUACAAUGUAUGGGAUUUCUUAGUUACCAAGCCUAGCCGAACAUUUUUCAUGUUCAUAACAUCCCACAUUUUCCUUCCUUCCACAUUUUUCUACCCUCUUCUACAAUUUUUACAAAAUAGUUCUUAAAGCCCUUUUCAUGAAAAUCUACUUAGUAAAAGUUGUUUACCAUAUUUUAAACUCUCAUAUCCUUCCAUAAAUCAUCAAAACAUAAGCUUCUCAUGCAUGAGUAAAUUUCUAAACAUGAACCCUAGCAUGAAAUAUUGGUAGAAAAAGAGAGAGCAAGUUAUUGGGAUUUCAAAAAUACGAAGAACAUUAAAAACGAGGCUUGGGAGCACUUACUAUAGAGCUUGGAAAGCUUGAAAACCCUAGCUAUGGAGAACCCUAAAAUUUCGACAGUAACAUGGAGAGAAUGAGCUGAUUUUUGGCUUUUUUUCCUUUUUUAUUUCAUUAAUAUACCAAAUGACCAAAAUGCCCCUAAUGCCUUUCCUUCAAAAUUUUUUCCAUACAAGCCCAUUUUUUUUUCCAAAAACUUAGAAAUUCGGCAAAUUGCUCUUUAAGACUUCCUAAUUAAUAAUCCAAAUCAAUUUCAUACAAAUUGCUUCUAAAACACAAAUUUUGCUAUUUAUUCAAUUUGAUCCCAAAUUUCCAAUUGGACACCUUAUACUUAGAAUUUCUUCAUGAAACUUUAACUCAUAUCUAUAUAUUCAUAUUCUAAACCUCAUAAAAAUCAUAAAAAAUAAUAUUUUAACGUCAGAUUUGUGGUCUUAAAACCACUAUUUCGACUAGGCCCUAUUUUGAGAUGUUACACAGACCGUUGGAGUGAAUCUACUGUUCACUACCGUCCCCUACAUAACAAAUUACAGAACUUCAAUCUUCAGAAAUCAGAAACUAAAAGAACACAAGGACCUUACUUACUGAUUUCAUAACAACCGAGAUUCGAAUGUCCACAAGCAGAAUUUAAUGAUAGAAUCAAAAAGCGAAGAAGGGAUGGUUUACUAUUAUUUCGUCAAAGGUAGAAGAAGAAAAGUGAAGAGAAAUCAAAGGGAAAAAUCCUAUUUGGGAGAAAGAAGGAAAACGUCAGAACCCAGAAAUUUUUGAAAAAAAACCAAAAAUAAAAUAAAAUCUUAGUUAAUAUCCCCACUGAUCCCUUAAUUCUCUCCACUACCCUACUACUAACAACUCCCUCAAAACUCCAGCACAACUGAAACUCUAUUAGAUAAUAGGGAAAAAAUAAAUGCCCACGCUCACGCAAGGAUUCGAACUUAAGACCUCCAACACUCUAGUUCCUUUACCACUAGAACCAACAAGCUUAUUCUAAUAUAUAAUUACAAACAAUUAAACAUAAGCCCUCUGAACAAAUAUAGGGCUUUAUUCCAAAAAUAACAAAAUUUUCCAGGGUAAGCCUUGAACCCAAGACCUCACACACACUCCCAGAACACUUAGCCACUGUAGCAGAUACACACUUAUGUUACAUUUUCACAAAAGAAAAAAUAAGAAAUUCGGGGCGUUACAUUAAAAAUCACUUUUCUGCUACUAGAUUGUAAUUAAGAAUUGUGAGUAAUAAAUAAAUGAAAAAUUAACUAAGUUUUCAAAAAUAAUCACUGUUACAAGAAUAAGGUUAAAAUUAAUUGGAUUUUGUUAACUCGCUAGUUUUACUAAAAAUAGGCUAAGUUUUCAUUUAAGAUAAACAAAUGUUUUAAAAUGAUUAAUUUAUAACUUCAAUCAUACUAGGCCAUCUCUGUGGCUGAUGUAAUCUCCUAAAUUUGGGUUUAACGUCUAGGUCGGGUUGGGAAAGUUACAAUUAGCCAGCUUGUCAUCAUCACUAGUCUAUAUGAAUUUAGGUUUUAGAGUAUUCACACCAUCCACAUCAACUGUUGGAGGCUACCAUCCAAUCGAUAUUGAGCACCAAGCUCUCUAGUCCAUGAACUUGAUACACUCUCAUCCUUGCCUUCCAAUAGGCAUAAUUCAUGCCAUCCAACAUAGGGGAUCUCGAAAUUGACAUAACUUCCUUCUUUCCAACAAAUCAACAACAAGAUCUUCACUUCGUUUGUCAAGUGUCUAGAUUUGAUACCAAUUUAAAGUUUGUUGAUUUUGCCUCCUCGUUGCACAUUCAAUUGCAAUUGGCCUUGUUGACUACAAGAGUAAAAAUUCGAUGUGGACACAAAGUUAGUUAUGCAAUUAAAAAAUUUCCUACAUUUGAGAAGCCUUGCCUAAAGAGUAAUCCACUAUCAAUCCUUAAUACAGUAUGUGAUUUAAGUUCAAAACACUCACCAUGUUUCAAUCUCACUACUAGACUUAACUAGAUCAUUUUCCCUACUAAGACUUUUCCCUUGAAAUCUUAGUCACAAAUUGAACAAAGAGAACAAUUUGUUUCCAAUAAUUUUGCACUAAAAUAAGUUCCUCACAAUGAACAAGAUAAGUGCUCUCAGUCUCAUACUAAAUACAAUAAUAAGUCUUCUUUUAAAUAGGCAUAUAUUGGCUUGCAAUUCUUCAAUCAAUGUGAACUUCAAGUUCCUUGAAUUUAGCUCGAACAUGUCUUCAAUUUGGAAAAAAAUAAAAUAAAGAUAUUCUAGAAAUAUACUUCUUAAGAAAACACGUAAUUUAAUUAAGGAAAAUCGAUCUCAUUAGUAGUCUUCAAAAAGUCAUUGCUUUAAAAGGUACAAAGGUUUUUUUAUCUAGGGUUUGUUUGGACAACUGGAGUAAUUAAAUGAAAGUGUUCCUAAGGUAGUAAUUACACUCUCUUGUAAUUACAAAGAAUUGUAAUUCCUUAGACGUAUUUGGUUGACAGAGUGUUAUUAUAUCGUAAUUCCCUAUGUCAUAUUUGGUAGAAUCCAUCGUAAUUUUGUAGUUGCAUAAUUUAAAUAUAUAUAAAUAUUAAUAACUAUAAGAUAUUAUUAGUAUGACAAAAAUAAUUUCUAAACAAGUAACAAAAAUUAAAAUAAAUAAUCAUAUUUAUUAUGUUAGUAUAAAAAAGUAGUUGAUAAUACGAUUACUAAUAAAAAUAGCAAGAAAAAUAAACAUCAUAUACAAUUUUACGUAAUUGUUCUAGUGCAUGUUUGUUGGGUUAUGUCCUUUUUAAUAUUUAACAUAUGCUUCCUGUCAUCAUUUGAAUUUGAAUAUGCAUAAUUAAGAUUAUCAAAAUUUCCUUCCUCCAUGUAUUCUUUGAAGUAUGAAUCAUCUCAAUUCUACAUAUGAUUGAAGUUAUGAAAUAUGCAACAUGCUAGUAUGGUUCAACCUUAUUUUUUUAUAUAUACUAUGGUUAUGUUGUUAAUAUGAGGAAUAUCUUUUUAGCCAAAAAUAUAUUCUCAACCACAUUUUGAAGUCUUGAAUGUCUUAUAUUAAAGAGUUCAGGAGUUGUUUGUGGUACUUGUGUCUAUCACCAUUCUCCUAAAUUGUAUCAUACCUUACAAUAUGGUGCAUGAAAAUAUUUUCUAUCUGCAUAACUAGCUUCGACCUUAUAAUACUUGGGUUUUUUGUUCAAUUGGCUUGUAGCUUUAAUUAUACAAACUUAUAUAAACUUAGUUUGGAGAAAGACUUAUGCUAGGUUAUAUCCCUUCUUAUAAUAUGUAAAUUAAGUAAAAAAAUAAUAUAUAAUUUAUAAUACAUAACUUUUAGAAAUAAGGUUUUAUAAAUUGUACAAAACUUUCAUAACACUUCCUAUAAGUAAUAUAAUUUUUUGUCAUAACCUUAGAAAGUUAUUUUUUAUAAAUAAAUUACGAUAAAAAAAUAUAAAAUUUUUAAUGAAUAAGUAUAUUAUUUUGAUAAUAUAUAACAUGGACUCGUAAAUAAGUUAUGUCUAUAUAUUGACCAUAAUUUUUUAUAAAUAAAUAUAUUAUAACAUGUAAAUUAUUUUUUAUAAAUUUUUUGCCAUAACUUUAGAAAUUUUGUUAGGAUUUACAUAAUAUAAUUUCUUAUUAUAACUUUAUAAAACACACAAAUUAUUCUUAUAAUAUAAUUUUUAAGAUUUAUAAUAUAAGAAAUUUUUUGCCAUAGCCCUUCUAAAUACUCAUACGUGUUUAUGCUAAUAAUAUAUUUUUUAAAACUUGUAUAAAAAUAAUUUCUAAAAUUAGAUUUGGGUGUAAUUACUCCAAUUCUCACCCGCCCCGUAAGAAUUGAAAAAUAUAAUUAGGGUGCUUCAAAUACACCUACUUCGAUGAGACCCAUCAAUUACAAUGAUUAUCCAAACAUGACACCCUUGUGUGAUUACAAACAGUUACACCAAAAUCUAAUUAUUAGGUGAUUCUUCAAAUAGUACCCAAAUGUUGCCAAAUAAAAAUUAAGUUACAGUUAGAGUUGUAUGUGGACUGUGUGAGUGAUACGAAAGCUAAAAUAAAUAUAAAUAUAAGUAUAUUAACAGGUAUGUAGUGAGAAUAGUUAAAAUUGUAUUUAAAGAAUAAAAUUGAAAUUAAGGUUUUUGUAAUUCAACAAAAACAAUGUAUUAAAUAAAAAAUAAACCUGGUAAGCUGCUUGAAAUCAGGGAAAAAGAAAGUUACAACUAAAUUGGAAUGUGUGGGAAUUUGGAAUGAGGGAAAUCAGGGCCUUCUCUUACUCUUAAGCCACUAAUGGAAGGUGAGUUGAGUUUUGCAUAUCUCUUUGAUGUUGGCCUUUCUUUUUCAAUGAUGCUUAUGUUCAAUAUUUUUGUUUGAAAAAGAUGGUCUGGCUUAGAGGGGCACUAAUAUUUUUUAAUACACAACAUGAACCCACAAAUUAAGAUAGCAAUAGCGUAGCUACUGGUUGAUAGAAUUUUAUGCCCAAAAUCUGAUGAAAUUUUCAAUUAUUAUUUUCCUUUCGCAUUCCCAAGAGAAUUCCAACACCUUGGGAUAGGAUAACUACAAAUUAGGUGGUUCAAAGUCUUAUUAUUAUUAUUAUUAUUAUUUUUGUUUAAAUGAUGUAUGCAAAAGAUUAUCUACUAAAAUAGAAUGCAAAUUUUGAUAUUUGCUUCUUCUUUUUUUUCUUUUUAUAUAAAAAAAUGAAAGUAAAUUACACACACAUAUAUAAGUAAACUAGUCUUUUACCUAUGCAUCACAUGGCUUAUUUCUACAUUAACUUUUAUAUGUAAUAAUUUAUUUUGAUAAAUCUUAUGAAUAAUAUCAUAAAUAAAUAUAAAAGUUAUUAUAUGCCACGAUUUUUUGUCAAUUUGAUUUGAAAUGGUUAUUUUAACAAUUAAAUUUUAAUUUUAAUUUAUAAAUUCUUUUAUUAUUUUUGAUUAUUUAUUAAUCAAGUUUAAUAUUAUUGUUUAAAUUUUUUAAAAUUAUUAUAAUGAUGAAAUUGCAUUACUCGAAAAAAAAAAUAUAGAUAAUUAACUUUUUCUUCAUGGAUUUCAUCUUAUGCUAUAAUAGUGAUCUUGUAAGAAUAUAUAACAUAAAAAAAUAAAAAAAUAUUAUUAACAAAAAAAAAACUUGGUGCAUUUUUCAAAAAUGCAUUUAAUUAAAAAAUUGAGCCAACAUAAUUGUGAUUUAGUAAAAAAAAAAUUUAAAUUUAAAAAUUGUACAAAAAAUCACACCUUUCAAAAUCAAAGUUGUAAAUUGACAAAAACUCCAGGCAUAGUAUUUAUAGAGUUAUUUGUUGGUAACAAUAAUUAAAAUUAUGAUUUUAGUAGAUAAUUAUAAUAAAAAAAUUAUAUUAUAUGAGAUUUAUGAAUCUUUUAAAUACAAUAUUAGGGGUGAGAGAUGAAGGUGAUAAGAUUUAAAUCCGUGUCAAAUAAGAGCUUUAACUAUGGCUUCAUAUUAUCUUGAGAAUUAAAAAAUUUCAACUUACAUGAAUUUGAAUUUUUUUUUAAAUAUUAAAUUAUGAUUUUAAUAGAUAAUAGUAAUUUUAAUAUUUUAUUCAAAAUUUGCAUAAUUUUUUUUGGUAUCCUUGAUAUCAUAUUUAUAAUCCAUAUUUGAGUUUGUCGAUGCUUUUCCUAAUAAUGUUGUGUUCAAGGUUUGCACAUAGUUCUUUUAUUGAGACUCGAGAGUGCAAUAUGCCUUCCUAUUAUACCCAACACUUGUUGAUAAAUUAUGUAUAAAAUUUUUAACUCAAAAGUAAUUUAAAUUUUCAUUAUGUGUCAUUUAAUUAGUGUACCAUAUUGUAUAAUAUAUAUUAUAGAGUUCUUUUUCACAUAAAUUUACCAAAAUAUAAAAAUAUAAAACGCAUUUUCUCAAUAGAUCAAACUACAAUAAGUCAACCUCAAAUAAUUACUCUAAAAUGAUUUGGAGAUCUCCGAUUUACUGAUUUUCAUGUACUAUAUUAUAUUAUAUUAAGGCUGUAAAUUGCUUGCAAAUCAUUUGAAUUUGGCUUAAAAAAAUUGAAUUUAAUUAGAUAAUUAUUGAACUCAAGCUCAAGCCAACGAUCAAAUCAAAUUCAAGUAUUGUGAUACUUAAUUUAAACGGUUUACAAGUCUAAUCAUAUUUUUCGUUUUAAUAUAUUUUUAUAUUAUGAAAUUAUGUUUUUACCCUUAUUAUAUAGAAAGACUUUUAAGUAUAAACAAACUUAAAUUAAAAUAAGAAUGAACUUAUUCGAGCGCGUUAAUAACUCCAUUAUAUCUUGAACCGAGUUUUAGCUUAAAAAUUGAUAUUCAAUUAAACUCAAGUCAAGUAUCGAGGUAGACCUUAAUUCUAUUCGAACUUGGAUUUACUCAGUUACACCCUACUAUAUUUAUAUAUUUUAAAGACUUUUAGAUUAAAUAAAAUGAGUUAAUCAUAAAAGAUACGUACCCUGCAGUUUACUUUUGGGCAUUUCAUGAAUUUCUUAUUGAAUAUGAUACAUCUAUAUGAUGGAUUAAAUUUCAAUAUAUGUUUUAGGAUAAAAUACUAAAACAAUCACUUUUGUUUACUUUAAGUUUUAUUUUA
This 39162-nucleotide long non-coding RNA is filed under the name Gossypium barbadense (sea-island cotton). Its description in RNAcentral is "long non-coding RNA (GBAR_LNC000482)". The record is from RNAcentral. Lineage: Eukaryota; Viridiplantae; Streptophyta; Magnoliopsida; Malvales; Malvaceae.